This 444-nucleotide ribosomal RNA is filed under the name uncultured Leptolinea sp. Its description in RNAcentral is "bacterial SSU rRNA". It matches the Rfam family "Bacterial small subunit ribosomal RNA", at positions 926 to 1381 of the family's 1533-position model. The record is from RNAcentral. Lineage: Bacteria; Bacillati; Chloroflexota; Anaerolineae; Anaerolineales; Anaerolineaceae.
CAAGCAGCGGAGCGUGUGGUUUAAUUCGAUGCUACACGAAGUAACCUUACCGGGGUUUGACAUGCAAGUGGUAGGAAACCGAAAGGCCGACCGACCCUUCGGGGAGCUUGCACAGGUGCUGCAUGGCUGUCGUCAGCUCGUGUCGUGAGAUGUUCGGUUAAGUCCGCUUAACGAGCGCAACCCUCGCUGUGUGUUACAAGUGUCACACGGUACUGCCGGUCUUAAGCCGGAGGAAGGUGGGAUGACGUCAAGUCAGCAUGGCCUUUAUGUCCUGGGCUACACACACGCUACAAUGGCCAACACAAUAGGUUGCUAAGCCGCGAGGUGGAGCCAAUCCUCAAAGUUGGUCUCAGUUCAGAUUGCAGGCUGCAACCCGCCUGCAUGAAGAUGGAGUUGCUAGUAGCCGCAGGUCAGCUAUACUGCGGUGAAUACGUUCCCGGGCUU